Cornus florida is the source of this 857-nucleotide long non-coding RNA. RefSeq lists it as uncharacterized. The record is from RefSeq and is a predicted model, not a curated record. The transcript is spliced from 6 exons. Lineage: Eukaryota; Viridiplantae; Streptophyta; Magnoliopsida; Cornales; Cornaceae.
UCAUUUUGCAAUAGCCCCUAACUCCUUCAGCCGCUCUCUCUCCUUCCAUCACAGGUCUCGCCUACUGCCCCAACCUUAAGAGGCUACUCUCGCCUUUCAUUCACUCUCUCGCUCUGCAAAACACUCUCUCUCUCCUCCGAAGGUCGGCUAGCGAGAGAGUUUUUCGAGUCUUCGAUUCUUCUUCAUCUGCGAAAGAGGCCACACCAAAGGCUAUCUUGCAGAUAAUGAAUAUGAGGGGACUGACACUUUACCACUUGAAAAGUCACUUGCAGGCUACAAAAAGAAAGCCACCUCUGUUUUGAGACAUUCUGCAAAGGGGUUCAUAACAAAUACCCCUAUCCUUCACAACUGCCACCAUAUGCACACUCACAGGACAAGAAGUUGUUUGAGUUUGGCUGCUGAACAAGAGAAAAAUAUAAUAGAGAAGUGGUUACCUGAACUAAAGAGUGCAGUCCUGAAUUCUCAGAAAUGACUGGAAGAUUGCAAAUAUGUCAGGGGCUUGGAUUGAUUAUCACCAGUUCAUUAGAAGCAGAAGAAUCAGAAUUUCUAUGAUUCCAGUCUACAACAAAGCUGCUUCCUUGGAUUUUGUAUUGUGGAUUUUGCAGCUACUUCCUUGGAUUUUGUACAGUGAGGUGGUUUUUUAACAAGUGCAGACUGAAACUCAAGUGUUAGAAGGUUUAUCAAUUUUUUAACAGAAGUGUUAAGAAAUUGAUGAUUUUCUUGACAAAUGGAUUUAUUUCCUGUUUUGGAACAUUGUAAAUGUUGAAUUGUUUUGGCACAUUAAUAAAUGAUGAAUUGUAAAAAUGUUUUAAUUCUUUUGAUAUAUUUAAUAGAAUAUGUAUGUUUUUUGAAUUGAA